This is a non-coding RNA of Plutella xylostella (diamondback moth), 736 nucleotides long. The record is from RefSeq and is a predicted model, not a curated record. Lineage: Eukaryota; Metazoa; Arthropoda; Insecta; Lepidoptera; Plutellidae.
CUUACCCAAAAGCUCAACUGACAGCUGUCAAGGAAAACGGCUCAUUCAUGAGACAUCACUUCUAAUCUAUCAUGUCGCUAAUAGGUGUCGAUGGUCUCACGCCGGCUCCAUACGUUGGCCCCAACGCAGGUCCCAAGUCCCAACGCUACUCGUCCAACGUAUGGAUCUAGAAAAUUGCAUUGGCCCCAACGUUGGAGCGAGCGUUGGUAGUUGGCCGGCUCGUGUCGGUUUUAUCAAAGGAAUCUGCGCCAACGCUGGCGACCACGCCCACACGUUGGCGCUUUGCUCAGUGCUGUUGUAACACGCAACGAGUGCGGACGUCGAGCAAGAAUGGAUUUCUCACCACAAAAUCGUCACCUUUAUGGAAAAAUUAAAAAGUUACAGAUUUUAUUGAAAUUAACAACAAGCACAUCCAAUAAUAUGGGACGCAACUCGAAAGGAACAUAAAAAUCAAAAUGUAUUAGCAUGCAUGGCGCAGCAUUCAUCAGAAUAUGGGCAUGAUCUUCUCAAUUGAAGAUUUUUAAAAAGGGGGAAUCAUUAAUGAGCACAUAUUUAUCGCCUCAGAGCAGUUAAGAUUUCUGUAUCGGACAUCUUCACGUUGGCUCUGUCGGGACAGAACUGGUUUAUUAGCCAACGUAUGUACGCCUCACCCAAUUUGCAGUCCAACGUUGGUACGAGCGUUGGGACCAACGUGUGGAGCCGGCCUCAAACGUAUGGAUCUAGAAAAUUGCAUAGG